Molecule: long non-coding RNA, 1119 nt
Filed under: Homo sapiens (human)
Lineage: Eukaryota; Metazoa; Chordata; Mammalia; Primates; Hominidae
Description: non-protein coding SATB1-AS1:4
Source: RNAcentral
GCGGCCGCUGGCGACACUAGGCGCACUGAAGCCCGAGCCGAGCCGAGCCCGAGCCGCCGCCGCCGCCGCCGCUGCUGCGCACCGCUCCCGGGCUCCCUCCCAGCGCGCCGGCCGGGGUGUGGGGGGCGGCGGGCCGGAGGGGCGAGGGCGGGCCAGGGGGCGCACACGGGGGUUGGCGCGGAAGACAGGACCCUCAGCCUCGAGGGAGCCCCUAGGUGACCAGGCAAAAUGGCAGUUCCUUCCAGCUGGUCCUCAGAUGGGCACAUCUAUUAGCCUCUGCUCUUGUAAGAAGUUAGCUGCAGAACCCACAUGUGAAUCCUUGUAGGACUCUGGAGAAGAUCAAAUGGGAGCUUAGAUGUGGAAGCUCUUUGGAAACCAAGAAACACUCUGAAAAUGAAAAGGGAACAGUUUGUGGACUUGCGCUGGCCCUUGGACCACACUUCGAGUGACAUUGUUAUAGAUGACACGGUCUCUUAUAGGAAAAUGCACAGUCUUUCUUAGAUUCUCUACCUCCCUCUUCCAUCUCAUUCCCAACAUAGAUCUGGGUACAUGAGUGGGGUCUUAUUAUAAUCUUGUGACACCCUUGGAUCAUGCACUACCCUCUAAAUAAUCAAUAGUUUCUACUAUAGAGAGGCUCAAUUUAUCUUCUCCCUGGAAUUGGGACCACUGAAAUAUAACUAGAACCCAACUGAUCUUUUGAGAUGUUGUGUGCUUGCCCUUACUGCUACUGCCGUAGUUCUGAACAUUUCCCCAAGCAUCAAAAAGGCCCCAUGGCCUCUUUUCCCCUAGACCUCUGCCAGUCCACCAACACUCUCAGUGGGGAAGUAAGAAGCCUGGUGGAUCCUGCUUCCCACACAAAGGCCAUGAUGAGACAGAUGCUUUCUAAGUCCGAUAUAUCUACCCACUUUCUGCUGUCACCUCUGUACCUCCUGAGUCACAUGGAAUGUGGUGCUGAGCCAAAUGGUCAGUCUUCUAGAAGCAGUGGAAUGUUGGAGGCAGCUUAUACCUUAGCUGAUUCUUAAAUUUUCAGGAAUUUUGUGAGCCAGUUUUUAAACACAGCCAUUGUUGAAAAUUAAACAAUAUAAACUUAUAAUCAAAUAUAUUAAAAAUAAAGAUAAU